CUGUUGUUGUUUUUAGAGCAUGUAGGUAAAGAAGAGAUCUUUCAUAUCCUGUUAUUUGCUUUGAGUAGCCACACAUCCCACAUGGUCAUGAGCCUUCACUUUACUGAGAAAGCACUUUGCAACCACUACUUGUUUCUCUUCCAGUAAAAAUUUCCACAAACUUUGGCAAAGUUUUGUUUUUAUACAGGGACAGCUGGAGUGGGCGGUGUAAAGCUGAUUCAUUUAACUUUUUCCUGACUUAAACGUGCGUUUUAAGGUUGUAGAUAUCUCCUGAUAUGAUUGUGGAUCUCUCCUGAGCCUAUGAAGUUGUGCUGAGAAACCGUGACAAAACCAGAACAAAGUAAGAGGGGAAAAACAUCACAGCUGGAUCUGGACAGAACGUCACUCUGACAUGUCGAGCUCCAAACAACAACAUCAUAGGUGUAAAGUGGAGCAGCACUGACCUGGAGCCAGAAUAUGUGCUUUUUUACAGAAAUGGGCAGUUUGAUCUAGAAAACCAGCAUCCAUCUUUUAAGAACCGGGUGGAUCUGCAGGACAGACAGAUGAAGGAUGGAGACGUGUCUCUGAUUCUGAAGGAUGUGACGAUUAAUGACACUGGAAGAUAUGAGUGUCGUGUCUUCUCAAAAGGGAGGAACACUGACCCCAUCAGCAUCAUCUACCUGAAAGUUUUUCCUCCAGGUCAGUCAGGAGGACACACAGAGGAUGGAUCUGUUGGACUGAUUGUUGGUCUGUCAGUUUCUGCUGUGCUUCUUGUUGUUGUUGUUGCUGCUGUUGUUGGUGGUGUUUUGAUCUAUAGAAAACAUAAACGGCAACAACAGAGUCAAGAUUCAUAUAAGCCUCCUGUUGAACAGCAGGAUGUUUGAAAUGUCUCAGAGAGGGAAAGGAAAAGCAGGAGAAAGUCUGACUGAAAAAACUAAAACAAUACCACCAGAGUUGAAAAACCAGAAGAGCUGCAUGUUUCCAAAGAGAUUUCACAGGAUGGAUGAUGGUCUGAUAAAUCAGCUGUAAAUACUCACUGUGCCUCAAAGAAGAAAAAAUAGACAUAAAACAAAGAAGAACACAAGUUCAAUAUAUCUUUAUGAGAUUUAAAUACACACACACACACACACACACACGUAUUGUUACAUAUUUAUGUAUUAUAUUAUAUUUACUUUCAACACUGAACAUUUAUGGCUUAUUAUGUAUUGGACAUUUCUAAAUAACAAUAUUUAUUAUUAGUAGUAUUAUUCAGUUUUUAUAAUAGUUAUAUCUUAAACAUUUCUUCCACACACAGGUUCAAUAUUUGAUUGUAGCUUUUGUCUGAGUCAUUUACAUCUUGUUUGUAUGUGGACCAGUUGGUCCUGUGUUCAAUCAAAGAAAAGUGAGCAAAUUUGAAAGUAAGUAGAAUGAGAAAACAUUUGUUUUCAUAGCACAAGGUAAACAGUUUGAGUGAACGCUCUGAAUCAAGGCUUCUCUUCCACUGAUGUCAACAAAUAACCUUAUGCUUUGUUUCCUCAAAGUAUUCAUGAAUUCAGGGACCUGUCUGUUUCAGAAACAGUGUGUUUUAUUUUCAGGUUCAGCUGUUUGUGAGAAUAAAGUUGUUCUGUUAAGUUUGAACCACACUGACUGAUCUUCAUGACUGAAAGGACAAACAUGUGAUAAAGAACAGAUGGAUUAUUGUAAAUUAUAGAUCAUAAAUCAUCUAUUCCAAAGUGUACCAGAUAGCUUCAAUUGAACAACUGAAUGUUCUAAUAGCAAAAUUAAACCAAACCCAGACAUAACCUCUGUAUAAAAGUCACAUGUUCCUCCCUCUGAUCUGUGAAGGUUUUUUUGUUGGUUUUCUGGUUGUUACUUCAAUUUAAAUGUUUCUAAGGCUGAUCACAUUUUGUGUCUAUUUAAUGUGAUUUUGUUGCUAAUAAAAUUUUACAGUACUGUGAAAGGAACUUUGUCUUAACUGACUAUGUGUUUUCUGUGGAAGUAAAACUUGUUUUUAUUUAAAGGUUUCUGAUGUGUAAAACACUGUCUUCAUCAGACAGAGAAAUGGAAAUGGACUUAGAAUAUGUUCCUGUAACAACAAACUACAAAACGGAAAGUUUUGUAGUUUGUAGAAAGUUGUUUUAAAUAUACUGCAAAUAAUUUUAUUGGUGUCACUGAGUCUGAGGCUGUGUUGGUUUUAGAUACAGAAUGUACUAUAUUUAGAUGAAAAAGUGAAGUGCUAAUUCAACAGCUUUCAGGCCUUUUUACACCAGAUGCAUAAACUAUAUUUUUCAGACUUGCCUUUUCUUAAUGCAGCUAUUCACACGGCCACGUAAUUUUACUUAACCAAUUUGCAGCAUUUACUUUUUUGAAACAAGCUUGAUUUACUUGAUGUUUAGUAGUAAGUAAGUAAGUAAGAGAGAUUCCAUAUCUCAUAAGUUGAUCUGCACAAACCGAUUUGAUUAAUCAGAUGUAUGCAUGUGGCAACAUAUGUACUAA
Molecule: long non-coding RNA, 2454 nt
Organism: Oreochromis aureus
Lineage: Eukaryota; Metazoa; Chordata; Actinopteri; Cichliformes; Cichlidae
Source: Ensembl